AUGGCUGAUCGUCCCGCGCCGCAGAAGCACCAGGGACACACUCAGUCCUACUCCAUCGAUCCACACUGGUACAUGGGCUCUGGGGCGACAGAGCAUUUGACCAGCGAGAUGGGGAAGCUUCACACUCGUGAACCCUAUCAUGGCUCCGACAAGAUCCACACCGCCAAUGGAGCAGGUAUGCACAUCUCUCAUAUUGGUCAAGCAUCUCUUCUCACUAGACAUGCCAAUAGGAGUCUUCAGCUUCGCAAUGUUCUUCACGUUCCAUCUGUGACCCGCAAUCUUCUUUCAGUUCCUAAACUCACACGUGAUAAUAAUGUGCUUUGUGAAUUUCACCCUUUUGAUCUUUUUAUUAAGGAUCGGGGCACGAGGGACAUUCUUCUUAGUGGGCGGUUGUGCCAGGGCCUCUACCGUCUGGAGCAUCCUGGCGUCGCUCGCGUUUUCAGUGGAGUUCGGGUCUCUCCGUCACAGUGGCAUGCUCGUCUUGGUCACCCGGCCACACCUAUUGUCCGUCAUAUUUUGUGUCGUCAUGAGCUUCCUAGUUUGUCUAGUAAUAAAGAUGUAGCAGUGUGUGAUGCUUGUCAGCAGGGGAAGAGUCAUCAACUUCCUUUUUCGGAGUCCAGUCGUGAGGUGAAACAUCCGUUAGAACUUGUGUUUUCAGAUGUA
This 663-nucleotide ribosomal RNA is filed under the name Triticum aestivum (bread wheat). Its description in RNAcentral is "partial small subunit ribosomal RNA". The record is from RNAcentral. Lineage: Eukaryota; Viridiplantae; Streptophyta; Magnoliopsida; Poales; Poaceae.